This 76-nucleotide transfer RNA is filed under the name Rhodoferax sp. Its description in RNAcentral is "tRNA-Gly". It matches the Rfam family "tRNA". From Rfam's summary of the family: Transfer RNA (tRNA) molecules are approximately 80 nucleotides in length. Lineage: Bacteria; Pseudomonadati; Pseudomonadota; Betaproteobacteria; Burkholderiales; Comamonadaceae. RNAcentral also lists the same sequence under 108 other names. The record is from RNAcentral.
GCGGGAAUAGCUCAGCUGGUAGAGCGAUACCUUGCCAAGGUAUAGGUCGGGAGUUCGAACCUCCUUUCCCGCUCCA